UGACGUUAACGUCAGAAGAAGCACCGGCUAACUCCGUGCCAGCAGCCGCGGUAAUACGGAGGGUCCGAGCGUUAUCCGGAAUUAUUGGGUUUAAAGGGUCCGUAGGCGGGUCUUUAAGUCAGUGGUGAAAGCCUGCAGCUUAACUGUAGAAUUGCCAUUGAUACUGGAGACCUUGAGUACACUUGAAGUAAGCGGAAUGUGUCAUGUAGCGGUGAAAUGCUUAGAUAUGACCCAGAACACCG
This 242-nucleotide ribosomal RNA is filed under the name Schmidingerella taraikaensis. Its description in RNAcentral is "partial Bacterial small subunit ribosomal RNA". It matches the Rfam family "Bacterial small subunit ribosomal RNA", at positions 470 to 711 of the family's 1533-position model. The record is from RNAcentral. Lineage: Eukaryota; Ciliophora; Spirotrichea; Tintinnida; Rhabdonellidae.